This 253-nucleotide ribosomal RNA is filed under the name uncultured bacterium. RNAcentral describes it as "partial 16S ribosomal RNA". It matches the Rfam family "Bacterial small subunit ribosomal RNA", at positions 524 to 776 of the family's 1533-position model. The record is from RNAcentral.
UACGGGGGGAGCAAGCGUUGUUCGGAUUUACUGGGCGUAAGGGCGCGUAGGCGGCCAGCACAAGUCAGUUGUGAAAUCUCCGGGCUUAACUCGGAAAGGUCAACUGAUACUGUGCGGCUAGAGUGCAGAAGGGGCAACUGGAAUUCUCGGUGUAGCGGUGAAAUGCGUAGAUAUCGAGAGGAACACCUGCGGCGAAGGCGGGUUGCUGGGCUGACACUGACGCUGAUGCGCGAAAGCCAGGGGAGCGAACGGG